Molecule: ribosomal RNA, 806 nt
Filed under: uncultured Basidiomycota
Lineage: Eukaryota; Fungi; Basidiomycota
Description: eukaryotic LSU rRNA
Rfam family: Eukaryotic large subunit ribosomal RNA
Source: RNAcentral
CUUUAGACCUCAGAUCAGACAGGACUACCCGCUGAACUUAAGCAUAUCAAUAAGCGGAGGAAAAGAAACUAACAAGGAUUCCCCUAGUAACGGCGAGUGAAGUGGGAAAAGCUCAACUUUGUAAUCUGGCAGCUUCGCUGUCCGAGUUGUAGUCUCGAGAGGCGUUUUCCGCGCUGAAGCAUGCAUGAGUCUGUUGGAAUACAGCGUCAUAGAGGGUGAGAACCCCGUUCGUGGCAUGCCUUUCAGUGCUUUGUGAUACGCUUUCGAUGAGUCGAGUUGUUUGGGAAUGCAGCUCAAAUCGGGUGGUAAAUUCCAUCUAAAGCUAAAUAUUGGCGGGAGACCGAUAGCAAACAAGUACCGUGAGGGAAAGAUGAAAAGCACUUUGGAAAGAGAGUUAAAAGUACGUGAAAUUGUCGAAAGGGAAACGAUUGAAGUCGGACGUGCAGGGCAACUUGCAGGCCAACAUCGGUUUCAUUUGUCGGAUAAAGGUUAAAGGAAGGUAGCAGCCUCGGCUGUGUUAUAGCCUCUGGCUGAAUACGAAAAGUGAGACCGAGGACCGCGGCGCAAGCCUAGGAUGUUGGUGGAACGGCUUUAAACGACCCGUCUUGAAACACGGACCAAGGAGUCUAACAUGCUUGCGAGUGUUUGGGUGUCAAACCCAUACGCGUAAUGAAAGUGAAUGGAGGUGGGAUCCGCAAGGAGCACCAUCGACCGGUCCUGAUGUUUACUGAAGGAUCUGAGUAAGAGCACGUAUGUUGGGACCCGAAAGAUGGUGAACUAUGCCUGAAUAGGGUGAAGCCAGAGGA